Olea europaea var. sylvestris is the source of this 458-nucleotide long non-coding RNA. RefSeq lists it as uncharacterized. NCBI's taxonomy places the organism in Eukaryota, Viridiplantae, Streptophyta, Magnoliopsida, Lamiales, Oleaceae. The record is from RefSeq and is a predicted model, not a curated record. The transcript has 3 exons.
AUUCAAAAUACUACCUACCCACAUUUAACUACCCAUAUUCAACUAUUUAACCAUCCUUUCACUACCAUUUCACACGUCUCAAAAACAUUUUCUUUCAAUUUUCAAAGUUCUCAAAAGGAAACUAAGUUCAACCACCAGGAAGAAAGCUUGAUGAAUUUCUUAUGUAUCCAUGGGGAUGUAAGGCAUAUUUUGUUCUAUUACAUUCAUUACAAGAAUCACAACUUGAAAGAAUACGAAGAAUGCAACAAAAUAACCAAGCAGAAUGUAAAUAUUCAUUGCAUGGUUAUCCACUUGUAUUCCAGUAUUGGAUAUACGAAACUUUUCCUAAAAUUGGACGACAAUUUGGUCACCGUAUCCGUACAAGUUUAAAAUGUCCACGAAUGCAUAAAUGGCAGCCUCAAAUGGUAUUAGCGGAAAAUGUUAUUAAAGAAUUUUUAGCUACUGAAGAGGUAUGUUCA